AGUGAGAGGCCAACAGACAAGCCAGUUGGCCUUGAGCUCCGGCUCACUAAUAAUAGCAUCAUCCAGGCCGGCUCAGAGCUGCGGGGACUGCAGGAUGACAUCACCCAGAUGGAAGCAGAAGGGAUGGGCAAACCGCAAGGUCCCAAGGGCUGAUGAACACUGGAAGCUGCUUGAGAAAACCCAGAAAAUCAUUUUGUACAUGUUUGAAAAUGAAAGAGGAAGAAGGAUAAAAAAGAAGAAAAAAAAUGAAGAAGGGGGAAGAUAAGGAGAAAGAGAAGAAAAGGAAGAGAUAAUAUAUGGUCUGCAAAGCGUAACAUGCUUUUAUAAAUAUCUGCCUAUCCCUGCUGUAGAAGACUGGCAAGGGAAAUUCAACAUACAUAUAAUGGACUUCCUCAGUGAAGAAAAUGAAAGCAAUGGAAAAAGCAAACGUUUAAAACUGUAGUUCAAGAAUAUUUUCAAGAAACAAAAGACUGGUAAAUGCAAGUUGAUACCUAGUUAAAGGGUACAUUGUGUACUUACAGAAUUUGAUGUGGUAUGAUCCACAUGGAGAGAAAGCCAUUUUGAAAUGAAAAUGUGUGUAUGUAAAGGGAGCUGUUGUCCUGUUUUUAUUGGUAACAGCACCUUCUUUUACAUUCUCAAGUGCCCUGCUUUGAACAACAAAUUAUAAGGUUAUCCUCUGGGAAAGAGAGUAGCAUUAGCCUUUUGAUACCAACAUUGCAUAGCAGAAGUCACAUAGAGUUAUGUUAACUAUGUUAAAGGAAAGAAAGCAUAAGCAUUGAAUUUAACAUAUUGCAAAAAGUCCUUAAUUCUUAGAGUUUGCAAAAAAAUGGGUUCAAAACUUAAAGGAGCAUAGACAUAGAGACUGUUUUUCCCAUGAGCCCUUCCUAUAAAACUUAUUAGAGAACAAGAAUGAAAAAAUAAUGAAAGAAAACUUGCCAUAAUAUCUAGGGUGAUAACUGAGUAUAUUUAAUUGUAUAAUUAAGACUAAUAUUUCAAGAAAUGGGUUAUAAAAUAUUAGGUAAUAUUAGAUUGACAGUGCAACAAAAUACAAUUAACAAAAAGGAAAGAGAAAUAGAGUAGGCUGAAGGAUGAAUAAGCUCACAGAUUAACUCAACAGUGUUAGCUAAACUUAAAAGUGGGAAGAAGGUUGAAUAAAAAUAAGUUUACUAAGUAUAUUAUUGCUCACAGUAGUAAAACAAUAGGGGAUGACAAAAGAAAAGCACUAUGAAUAUUGUAACUACAUUGAUCUAGAGUUAUAAACUGCCUUAGCAUGGAUUGCCUCUAAAACAGACCACUGUGAGACAAGACUGGAGAGAGGGUAGUUUUUGGGAAGGUGACCAAAGAAGAUCUGGUAUGGGAAUGAGAAAGUAAUGUAACAAAGGGAAAGACACAAAUAUAAGGUGUGUUCAUUAGUAUACUAAUCCCUUAGGCAAUUUUGGCUUAAUUCCAAUUGACAUCUUUGGUAGAUUAUGCAAAACAUACCUGAGAAUUAACCUACAAAAAUGGUAAGGGAGCUGGAGUAUUUAUCCAUCUAUGUCCAUUUCUUCUUUGUUGAGAGCUGCCCUUGAGAGCAUUACUGCAACCGUACUUCUAAUAUUUUCUGUGCAUGUUCCUGUAGCUAGAGAAAACCUCUAUUAAGAGAGUCACAGAAGCCUGCAAGAAGUAGCCAUCUAAUUAUAUGGAAACUGGCAAAAUCUGCUACACAAUCCUUCCUAAUUAUAAAAAAAGUACCCAAAAUGGGGAAGAAAGGAGAAAAACGUCACAUGUGAAAGAUUUUAUACAUAGGGUACAUAUAACUAGAUAAUUCUACUUCAGAGGAUAUAUUUCUGCCUCUGGAGACACGGAGUAAACAUAUGCUUCCCUAUUUUACCUACUAAGUAGAGCUGGGCACUAUACAUAAACAUCAAUCAUUGGAAGACCCCGGAGAGUGGACAGAAGACAGAUGAGCCAGGGACUUCCCAAGGGACAACAGAGCAGAGAGUUUCCUUACCUCACAUAUUCCAGAUUGGGUGCUAGGAAAACUGGAAAAUGAAACUUUCAGUAGAGGCAGACAAAAGAACCCCAAGAAUAACCAGGCUGCUUUCUUUGCCAAAGGAUAAAAAAGAGUCAUUCUAAAAAGGCAGAAAACUUAGACAAGAACUGCUCCAUUCCAACCAAAUACCACAAGAAACUGCAGCCCCACCUACAUCCUAACCAGAAAAGAAGUUAGAGUAGGGAGGCAAAUGCAAUGAAGUAUCCUGUCCCCUGCUGGGACAGAGUCAAAGAAAGCAGAGUGGAAGCCAAAAAUUUCUGCCCAGCAGUCACACCAAGUCAGUGAUGAUCCCACUAUGUGACUGAACUUUCAUACUCUGGGUUGUAAGAGGAUGCCCCUCUCCUUCCAUGAAGAGGUGGUAUAAGAGGAGGCUUAGUGGAGAUGAAGACUUUGUCACCAUACAUAGUGCCUGCAGAGGCUACAUGAACAGUAGUAAGGUCAUCCUUGUCCCUUCAAGUCAAGGUAGUAUCAACACAGACCUAGUGGAAAGCCAGAGCUC
RNAcentral lists this long non-coding RNA (2531 nucleotides) under Callithrix jacchus (white-tufted-ear marmoset). RNAcentral's name for it is "lncRNA (ENSCJAG00000086650.1)". The record is from RNAcentral. Lineage: Eukaryota; Metazoa; Chordata; Mammalia; Primates; Cebidae.